RNAcentral lists this ribosomal RNA (789 nucleotides) under uncultured archaeon. Its description in RNAcentral is "bacterial SSU rRNA". It matches the Rfam family "Archaeal small subunit ribosomal RNA", at positions 85 to 879 of the family's 1478-position model. The record is from RNAcentral.
ACUGCUCAGUAACACGUGGACAAUCUAACCUACGGAGGGGGAUAACCCCGGGAAACUGGGGAUAAUACCCCAUAGACUAUGGAUGCUGGAAUGCUUUGUAGUCGAAAGGUCCGCCGCCGUAGGAUGGGUCUGCGGCCGAUUAGGUUGUUGUUGGGGUAACGGCCCAACAAGCCUGUAAUCGGUACGGGUUGUGGGAGCAAGAGCCCGGAGAUGGAUUCUGAGACACGAAUCCAGGCCCUACGGGGCGCAGCAGGCGCGAAAACUUUACAAUGCGGGAAACCGUGAUAGGGGAACUCUGAGUGCCCGUUAAAUCGGGCUGUCCAUCAGUUUAAAUAACUGGUGAAGAAAGGGCCGGGCAAGACCGGUGCCAGCCGCCGCGGUAAUACCGGCGGCUCGAGUGGUGGCCACUAUUACUGGGCUUAAAGCGUUCGUAGCUGGUUUGUUAAGUCUCUGGGGAAAUCUUCCGGCUUAACCGGAAGGCGUCUCAGGGAUACUGGCAGACUAGGGACCGGGAGAGGUGAGGGGUACUCCAGGGGUAGGAGUGAAAUCCUGUAAUCCUUGGAGGACCACCUGUGGCGAAGGCGCCUCACCAGAACGGCUCCGACAGUGAGGGACGAAAGCUGGGGGAGCAAACCGGAUUAGAUACCCGGGUAGUCCCAGCUGUAAACGAUGCGCGUUAGGUGUAUCGAUGACCACGAGUCAUCGAGGUGCCGAAGAGAAAUCGUGAAACGUGCCGCCUGGGAAGUACGGUCGCAAGGCUGAAACUUAAAGGAAUUGGCGGGGGAGCAC